AUUUUCAGUUUCCUGAGCUUGUCAGGUUACUAUGUGGCCCCUUUUCUGUCCACAAUAUAAACAUGCUAACUUCUACAUGGUUGGUCCACAUUUACUACUACUGAAGUGUUUUACUGCUGAUAAAAGGCGUCACAUAGAAAGAAAACGUCGCUCUUCCUCUUCUGGACAUCCUAUGUCUGUCUGUGGCUUUGGGGCACCUGCAGGCAUCAUUCAGCCAGCAAAGGGGGCUAACCUAUGGCUGAAGCCCCCAGCCCAGAAUGGAAGAACAGAAAGAGGGAGAGCCGCUUGGGCCUUGACGACGUGGUGGGGCCAAAACGUGACUAAGACAACUCGACCCCUAAUUCCGUGAAAGUCGGUUUCAGCUUCUGUCCAUGAGGGAAUAAUUCCUACAGAAUUCGUCCUUCCAUGCUAAAUAACUAGAAAACUAGACAAAAUAUAUGGUUUUACUAUUUUCAAACAGGAGACAAGAAGUGAAAGAUGGAGAAUCUUGAAAGAAGGGAACAAUGAGAUAAACCCGAUGACUGCCCUCAUUUUUUGCCUAGAUCAGCAGAGAAAAACCAAUGAAACAAAAGGCUGGUUCUUUGGUGAGAUCAAUAAAACUGAUAAACCUAUAGCUAUACUGACCUCAAUAAAAACAGAGAAGACAUGGAUUACCCUUACUAACGAUGGGAGAGGGUAUCACAGUGUUACUUAAACCUUAGGGUUAAAAGGAGACUAUUUGAACAACUUUAGAUGAGAUGCAGAAAUUCCUCAACCCAUACAAAUGACUAAACCUGACCAAGGAAAAACUCAAGCACCUGAGUAUUCCGAUAUUUAUUGAUUAUAUUAAAUUUGCAAGUAAAAACCUUUCAACAAAGGAGAGUCGAGGCACAGCUGGACACACUGAUAAAUUCUCUCAAGCAUUUAAGGAAGACAUUUGUCCUACACAAACACUUUCUGAAAAUAAAAGAGCAGGCUGUUUAUUGGGGUCCCUUUCUCUCCAGCCCAUUUACUGGAGCGGGGCUUUGCAAAGCUCGUCUCCUAGCAGCCGGACGAACGCAGAAGGCCCAUUCAUAUUACAAUGGACGGAAAGGAAAGAAAGAGCUGCGUUUGUUUAAACUGCCUCUGUCUUCAUUCACAGCCUGAUGUCCGUGUGCAUUGUGACACCCACAAUGGCCGUAAAGGACUCAUUGUGGCUGAAAACAAAUCAAAACAGAAGAAGGGGUGCUAAGAUAAAAGAGCCAUGCAACAAAAUUGCUUAAAAAAUCUAAGUCUUACAUCUGAGAUUUAUGUUACCUUUUGGCUGUGUGGCCUAUUGACCAGUGUUUAUAAAAACCACUAGAGUUUAAUAAACAAAAAGAUAAAUGGGAACUUUAUGGACAUUUUUGAAGGCGCUUACACAGAAGGGAUGGGUCUGCCGGGUUGCUCUGGAAGCUGUUUAAGAAUUAUCGCUUUUUGUUUGCACAACAUUUGGGGAGCCGCGCUCCCACUUUGUGUUUAC
This is a long non-coding RNA of Hipposideros armiger (great roundleaf bat), 1480 nucleotides long. RefSeq lists it as uncharacterized. The transcript has 3 exons. The record is from RefSeq and is a predicted model, not a curated record. Lineage: Eukaryota; Metazoa; Chordata; Mammalia; Chiroptera; Hipposideridae.